GAAUGGUCAUUAAGAGGCUACCAAACAGCCCCUAAGUCAUUUAGGCGUAUUUGUAUUUAGUUUUCUUCCUAUAAUUAGUUUACUUAACGAGUAAAAUAGUUAAGCAAGAGGACAUCCUCCAAAAUGUUAGGAAUGAAACCUGAACAUUGUUAACUCCUUCUUCCAUUAGUUCAAAAGUAUUAUAAAACCAGGGUGGUGUUAUUGCUUUAAUGUAUGUAUUUGGCAUAUAAAGCAUAAAUCGGUCAAUGAAAUCCAAAAACUGAUGAAAUUAAUCUAAUAAAUAAAAUACACAACUAUCAACUUUGUAAAACUCCUGAGAUCCCUAAUACGACGUAAUGUGUGUGAAAAUGACCAAAUGGAUAUCAACAAAAAGGCGUUGUUAUCUGUUGGGUCGUCCCUAUGUAAACAAGAACGAUGCAUAUUUUCAGGUGUUUUCUGCUUGGCCUGUACCUAUUUUUCCCUCAGUGUUGCUCCUGCAAUAUGUCAAGAAGAUAUGGUAUUAAAACUCAUGAAACGUACAGUUUCCCCUUGAAUCCUGGAUUUUUUUUUUCUAUUCAGACUACCUUUUAAUUAUCUUUUGAAGUUCAUAUAUAUUCCUUUUACCUUAAGACAAACAACUAAAGAUAUUGUAGAGUUAAGGCUUUUGUUUUCAUAUAAUGAUAUAAAAUUAAAUGCAUAACAAGAAAUUGUUUGUCUGGAUCAUUUAAGAGCUAAGGACUUAUGUUUGAGUGACACCUAGUGGUGGUGCUGUGAUGGUGAUAUUGAAGUUUUCGCCUUUUUGGUGGCGCUGACAAUUUUGUAGCAGCAUUGCUGUUGACAGUUACGGUAGCGAUGACAUGUUGAACUUGUGGGCAUUAGAUAGAACAUUAACAGUGGCGGUGCUGUUGAUACGGAACAAUAGCGGAUAAAUCGUCUUGAGGUAUAAAAGGGUUUGGUUGGGUUUUGGGGAGACCCAUUUGCUCCGCCUUUUCUCUGCUCCCACAAGACACCUAUGAACGGUGAUCGACAGUUCCACUCAACUUCCACUGUCUGUCUCUUUCUCGCAUACUUUUUGUAGUUGCUUUCUUCUCUGUUUGAAGGUAAUGUUGUUCGCGAUGUUAUUUGUGAAUUUUUGUUGGUUGUACUAAUUACCAAACAGUCGAAGAUUGCAUGAUCCUGUUACUCAGGCAUGACCUUUCAAGUCUCUUUAUCAAUGUAUAUUUAGUGGUGAUUGGCCUU
Long non-coding RNA from Helianthus annuus (common sunflower), 1218 nucleotides. RefSeq lists it as uncharacterized. Lineage: Eukaryota; Viridiplantae; Streptophyta; Magnoliopsida; Asterales; Asteraceae. The transcript has 2 exons. The record is from RefSeq and is a predicted model, not a curated record.